RNAcentral lists this ribosomal RNA (506 nucleotides) under uncultured bacterium. RNAcentral's name for it is "partial 16S ribosomal RNA". It matches the Rfam family "Bacterial small subunit ribosomal RNA", at positions 30 to 523 of the family's 1533-position model. The record is from RNAcentral.
AUUGAACGCUGGCGGCAGGCCUAACACAUGCAAGUCGAACGGUAACAGGGAACAGCUUGCUGUUUCGCUGACGAGUGGCGGACGGGUGAGUAAUGUCUGGGAAACUGCCUGAUGGAGGGGGAUAACUACUGGAAACGGUAGCUAAUACCGCAUAACGUCGCAAGACCAAAGAGGGGGACCUUCGGGCCUCUUGCCAUCGGAUUUGCCCAGAUGGGAUUAGCUUGUUGGGGGGGUAACGGCUCACAAAGGCGACGAUCCCUAGCUGGUCUGAGAGGAUGACCAGACACACUGGACCUGAGACACGGUCCAGACUCCCACGGGAGGAAGCAGUGGGGAAUAUUGCACAAUGGGCGCAAGCCUGAUGCAGCCAUGCCGCGUGUAUGAAGAAGGCCUUCGGGUUGUAAAGUACUUUCAGCGGGGAGGAAGGGAGUAAAGUUAAUACCUUUACUCAUUGACGUUACCCGCAGAAGAAGCACCGGCUAACUCCGUGCCAGCAGCCGCCGUAA